RNAcentral lists this transfer RNA (76 nucleotides) under Dipodomys ordii (Ord's kangaroo rat). It matches the Rfam family "tRNA". From Rfam's summary of the family: Transfer RNA (tRNA) molecules are approximately 80 nucleotides in length. Their secondary structure includes four short double-helical elements and three loops (D, anti-codon, and T loops). Lineage: Eukaryota; Metazoa; Chordata; Mammalia; Rodentia; Heteromyidae. The record is from Rfam by way of RNAcentral.
GGAGAUAUGGCUCAAUGAUAAAAGAGUGCCUGCAUAGCAAGCAGGAGGCCCUGAGUUCAAAACACUAGUACCACCA